AUAGGUGUCACACCACCAAUUACUCCCUCAAAUUUAGAACGUAUGUGAAAGUAGGCCUACUCGGACAAAAAAUAGUGCAUUUGAUGUCAUUGUUUACUUAAACUACCCAACAAAUUUGCAGAAAUAAAACUUUUGGUGAAAGAGAAAUAUAUUAAGACCAUUUUGAGCCCAAAUUUACUUGUCUAUGAGUUGACAUUAAAAAUUGAGGAUUAAUGCGCU
RNAcentral lists this long non-coding RNA (219 nucleotides) under Mytilus galloprovincialis (Mediterranean mussel). The record is from RNAcentral. Lineage: Eukaryota; Metazoa; Mollusca; Bivalvia; Mytilida; Mytilidae.